This 71-nucleotide transfer RNA is filed under the name Loxodonta africana (African savanna elephant). It matches the Rfam family "tRNA". From Rfam's summary of the family: Transfer RNA (tRNA) molecules are approximately 80 nucleotides in length. Their secondary structure includes four short double-helical elements and three loops (D, anti-codon, and T loops). Lineage: Eukaryota; Metazoa; Chordata; Mammalia; Proboscidea; Elephantidae. The record is from Rfam by way of RNAcentral.
GCAGUGGUGGUUCAGUGGUAGAAUCCUUGCCUUCCAUGCGGGAGACCUGGGUUCGAUUCCCAGCCAGUGCA